GAAGGUAGCGUAAUCAUUUGUCUUUUAAAUAGAGACCUGUAUGAAUGGCAUAACGAGGGUUUAACUGUCUCCCUCCCCCAGUCAAUGAAAUUGAUCUGCCCGUGCAGAAGCGGACAUAAACACAUAAGACGAGAAGACCCUAUGGAGCUUUAGACAAAAGAUCAAACAUGUAAAGAAACCAAACCAACCAAAAGGAACACAAAGGCCACAAAACCCAACGUAAAAUGAUCAAAAUGUCUUCGGUUGGGGCGACCAUGGGGGAAAGAAAAGCCCCCACGAGGAACUAAGGGCAAUCCAUUAAGCCAAGAGAUACACCUCUAAGCAACAGAAAAUCUGACCAAAAAUGACCCAGGACACUAAUCCUGAUCAACGAACCAAGUUACCCUAGGGAUAACAGCGCAAUCCUUUCCCAGAGUCCAUAUCGACGAAAGGGUUUACGACCUCGAUGUUGGAUCAGGACAUCCUAAUGGUGCAGCCGCUAUUAAGGGUUCGUUUGUUC
This 499-nucleotide ribosomal RNA is filed under the name Anguilla marmorata (giant mottled eel). RNAcentral describes it as "partial 16S rRNA". It matches the Rfam family "Bacterial large subunit ribosomal RNA", at positions 1952 to 2582 of the family's 2925-position model. The record is from RNAcentral. Lineage: Eukaryota; Metazoa; Chordata; Actinopteri; Anguilliformes; Anguillidae.